Long non-coding RNA from Arabidopsis lyrata subsp. lyrata, 613 nucleotides. RefSeq lists it as uncharacterized. Lineage: Eukaryota; Viridiplantae; Streptophyta; Magnoliopsida; Brassicales; Brassicaceae. The record is from RefSeq and is a predicted model, not a curated record. The transcript is spliced from 6 exons.
CGAAAUCUCUCGCCGUCGCCGCUCUCUGAAACACCGCCGGAUCUAAUCUCAGAAGAGCUGAUCCAAUUGAAGGUGUUGAUCAGUGCAAUAAAGGAAUUUUGAAGCUGUUCUUUAUCUCCAAUCACAGUACAGUGUUGCUGAGUGCACUAAAGGAAUUUUGAAGGUUUUCUUUAUCUCUAAUCACAGGACAGUGUUGCUGAGUGCACUAAAGGAAUUUUGAAGGUUUUCUUUAUCUCUAAUCACAGGACAGGACAGGAUACUAAAGGUUUUAAAUUAAGCUUAUAUCAUAUAAUGCUGGACAAAGAUUGGGUGCAUCUUUGCAGGUAUUAAAUUUAAUUAUAUAGAUGUUAAGUUUUCAAUAGGGGUUUGUAGAUUUUUUUUAUUUCUUUCUUUUUUAUUUUUUUUCUCUUCAUUCUUAAAUGAAGAGCUGAUCCAGCUUAUCAAAGAGGGGCUUCAGAUUUUGUAAGAGUUGUGUCUGCGGCUUUGGUAGAUGGUGAUAUGAUUGUAUGUCCUUGCAUCGACUGUCGUAAUAUAGAUCGUCACAUAGGAAGUGUUGUAGUUGACCAUCUUGUUAGAAGAGGUAUGGAUGAGGAUUAUAAGCGGCGGUCUGAUU